RNAcentral lists this ribosomal RNA (253 nucleotides) under uncultured bacterium. RNAcentral's name for it is "partial 16S ribosomal RNA". It matches the Rfam family "Bacterial small subunit ribosomal RNA", at positions 524 to 776 of the family's 1533-position model. The record is from RNAcentral.
UACGGGGGGGGCAAGCGUUGUUCGGAAUUACUGGGCGUAAAGGGUUUGUAGGUGGCUCGCUAAGUCAGACGUGAAAUCCCUCAGCUUAACUGGGGAACUGCGUCUGAAACUGAUGAGCUCGAGUGCAGGAGAGGAACGCGGAAUUCCAGGUGUAGCGGUGAAAUGCGUAGAUAUCGUGAGGAAGACCAGUGGCGAAGGCGGAUCUCUGGACAGUUCCUGACGCUGAGGCGCGAAGGCCAGGGGAGCAAACGGG